GAAAAUGCUUAAAUACCCUGCACACCAGAUCCCAUCUGAUCUUGGAAGCUAAGCAGGAUCAGCCCUGGUUAGUACUUGGAUAGGAGACCCCCAAGGAAUACCAGGUACUGUAGGCU
Molecule: ribosomal RNA, 116 nt
Filed under: Anolis carolinensis (green anole)
Lineage: Eukaryota; Metazoa; Chordata; Lepidosauria; Squamata; Anolidae
Source: RNAcentral